Molecule: ribosomal RNA, 497 nt
Filed under: uncultured bacterium
Lineage: Bacteria
Description: partial 16S ribosomal RNA
Rfam family: Bacterial small subunit ribosomal RNA
Source: RNAcentral
GAUGAACGCUGGCGGCGUGCCUAAUACAUGCAAGUCGAGCGAACAGACGAUGAGCUUUCUGCGCUGACGUUAGCGGCGGACGGGGGGGUAACACGUGGAUAACCUACCUACAAGACUGGGAAAACGUCGGGAAGCCGGAGCUAAUAGGGGUGAAUUUGUUGAACCGCAUGGUUCGGUAGGGAAAGACGGUUUUGUUGGCACUUAUAGAUGGAGCCGUGCCGGAGUAGCUAGUUGGUAAGGGAAGGGCUUUCCAAGGCGACGGUGGGUAGGCGCCCUCGGAGGGGGGUCGGCCACCCUGGAACUGCGGCACGGUCCAGACUCCUACGGGGGGCAGCAGCAGGGAAUCUUCCGGCAUGGGCGACAGCCUGACGGAGCAACGCCGCGUGGUUGAUGAUGGUCUUCGGAUCGUAAAGCUCUGUUUUUAGGGAAGAACAAAUGUGUAAGUAACUAUGCGCGUUUUGCCGGUACCUAAUCAGAAAGCCACGGCUAACUACGUG